Molecule: unclassified non-coding RNA, 399 nt
Filed under: Hevea brasiliensis (rubber tree)
Lineage: Eukaryota; Viridiplantae; Streptophyta; Magnoliopsida; Malpighiales; Euphorbiaceae
Source: RNAcentral
GCGUCUGGCAGGCCAUGUGCUGGUCGAAGGCCGUCGCCGCAAGGCGAAGUACGGCGUGGUCACGAUGUGCGUCGGCGGCGGCAUGGGCGCUGCCGGCCUGUUCGAAAUCCUGCAGUAAGCAUCGCACGGCCGGCCCGUUCUCUCUGUUCAGAGAGGACGGGCCGGAAAGCGUCCGGACGUAAGGGCACUCGAAUCUUUUGACUGCCGAAUUGCCUCCCGCCUGUGCCGGUCUACAAUCACCGGACAGAACAAGAGGCCGAAAUCCCGGACUGUUAUUUCCAGUCAGACUCCAAGGAGGACCCCCGUGGAUCUCAAUUUCACCCAGGAAGAAAACGCAUUUCGCGACGAAGUGAGGAAGUUCUUCCGCGAAAGCAUUCCGCCCGCGAUGCACAAGAAGCU